GGCGGCAUGGCCAAGCGGUAAGGGAGGGGACUGCAAAUCCUUUAUCCCCAGUUCAAAUCUGGGUGCCGCCU
Molecule: non-coding RNA, 71 nt
Organism: Hordeum vulgare subsp. vulgare (domesticated barley)
Lineage: Eukaryota; Viridiplantae; Streptophyta; Magnoliopsida; Poales; Poaceae
Source: Rfam